RNAcentral lists this ribosomal RNA (417 nucleotides) under uncultured bacterium. Its description in RNAcentral is "partial 16S ribosomal RNA". It matches the Rfam family "Bacterial small subunit ribosomal RNA", at positions 355 to 762 of the family's 1533-position model. The record is from RNAcentral.
UGGGGAAUUUUGGACAAUGGGCGAAAGCCUGAUCCAGCAAUGCCGCGUGUGUGAAGAAGGCCUUCGGGUUGUAAAGCACUUUUGUCCGGAAAGAAAUCCUUGGCUCUAAUACAGUCGGGGGGAUGACGGUACCGGAAGAAUAAGCACCGGCUAACUACGUGCCAGCAGCCGCGGUAAUACGUAGGGUGCAAGCGUUAAUCGGAAUUACUGGGCGUAAAGCGUGCGCAGGCGGUUUGCUAAAGACCGAUGUGAAAUCCCCGGGCUCAACCUGGGAACUGCAUUGGUGACUGGCAGGCUAGAGUAUGGCAGAGGGGGGUAGAAUUCCACGUGUAGCAGUGAAAUGCGUAGAGAUGUGGAGGAAUACCGAUGGCGAAGGCAGCCCCCUGGGCCAAUACUGACGCUCAUGCACGAAAGCGU